UUGCACGCUGGCGGCAUGCCUUACACAUGCCAGUCGAACGGCAGCACGGGUGCUUGCCCCUGGUGGCGAGUGGCGAACGGGUGAGUAAUACAUCGGAACAUGUCCUGUAGUGGGGGAUAGCCCGGCGAAAGCCGGAUUAAUACCGCAUACGAUCUACGGAUGAAAGCGGGGGACCUUCGGGCCUCGCGCUAUAGGGUUGGCCGAUGGCUGAUUAGCUAGUUGGUGGGGUAAAGGCCUACCAAGGCGACGAUCAGUAGCUGGUCUGAGAGGACGACCAGCCACACUGGGACUGAGACACGGCCCAGACUCCUACGGGAGGCAGCAGUGGGGAAUUUUGGACAAUGGGCGAAAGCCUGAUCCAGCAAUGCCGCGUGUGUGAAGAAGGCCUUCGGGUUGUAAAGCACUUUUGUCCGGAAAGAAAUCCUUGGCCCUAAUACGGUCGGGGGAUGACGGUACCGGAAGAAUAAGCACCGGCUAACUACGUG
This 485-nucleotide ribosomal RNA is filed under the name uncultured bacterium. Its description in RNAcentral is "partial 16S ribosomal RNA". It matches the Rfam family "Bacterial small subunit ribosomal RNA", at positions 30 to 507 of the family's 1533-position model. The record is from RNAcentral.